Molecule: long non-coding RNA, 1140 nt
Filed under: Gallus gallus (chicken)
Lineage: Eukaryota; Metazoa; Chordata; Aves; Galliformes; Phasianidae
Description: lncRNA (ENSGALG00010010273.1)
Source: RNAcentral
GAUCCAUUGGGUUCCAUGGGGCCUGUAUGGGAUCUCUGUGGGAUCUAUUGGGAUCUAUGGGGUCUGUAUGGGAUCUGUAUGUGUUCCAUUUGGAUCUAUGGCGUCUCUAUGGGAUCUAUUGGUUUCUAUGGGGUCUCUAUCAGAUCUCUAUGGGAUCCAGUGGGAUCCACGACGUCCCUUUUGGAUCUCUAUGGGAUCCAGUGGGAUCUAUGGGGUCUCUAUGGGAUCUCUGUGGGAUCUCUAUGGGAUCCAUUGGGAUCUAUGGGGUCUGUAUGGGAUCCCGUGGGAUCUAUGGGGUCUCUAUUGGAUCUGUAUGGGAUCCAUUUGGAUCUAUGGGGUCUUUAUGGGAUCCAUUGGGUUCUAUGGGGUCUUUAUAGGAUUUCUAUGGGAUCCAGUAGGAUCCACAGGGUCUCUAUGGGGUCUCUAUGGGAUCCAUUUGGAUCUAUCGGGUCUCUGUGGGAUCUCUGUGGGAUCUCUAUGGGAUCCAGUGGGAUCUAUGGGGUCUCUGGGGGAUCUCUAUGGGAUCCAGUGGGAUUCACGGGGUCUGUAUGGGAUCUGUAUGGGAUCCCGUGGGAUCGAUGGGGUCUCCAUGGGAUCUCUGUGGGAUCCAUUGGGUUCUAUGGGGUCUCUAUGGGAUCUCUACGGGAUCCAUUGGGAUCUAUGGGGUCUCUGUGGGAUCUGUAUGGGAUCCAGUGAGAUUCACGGGGUCUCUAUGGGAUCUGUAUGGGAUCCAUUUGGAUCUAUGGGUUCUCUAUGGGAUCUCUAUGGGAUCCAUUGGGAUCUAUGGGGUCUCUAUGGGAUCUCUUGGGAUCUAUGGGGUCUCUAUGGGAUCUCUUGGGAUCUAUGGGGUCUCUAUGGGAUCUCUAUGGGAUCCAUUGGGUUCUAUGGGGUCUCUAUGGGAUUCAUUGGGAUCUAUGGGGUCUAUAUGGGAUCUCUGCGAGAUCCGUUGGGUUCUAUGGCGUCUCUAUGGGGUCUCUAUGGGAUCCAUUGGGAUCUAUGGGAUCUCUAUGGGAUCCCUCUGGCAUAUAUGGGUUCUCUGUGGGAUCUCUGUGGGAUCCCAAUAGGAUCUGUGGGUCCCCACAGUGUCGUCGUUGUCCCCCCCCAUAAAGAACAUAAGCGACGCUAUGGGGCACAGCAGCG